Molecule: long non-coding RNA, 7129 nt
Filed under: Octopus vulgaris (common octopus)
Lineage: Eukaryota; Metazoa; Mollusca; Cephalopoda; Octopoda; Octopodidae
Source: RNAcentral
UAUAUGUGUGUGUGUGUGUGUAUGUUAUAUUCAUUAAUUGAAGCCUGUUUCAAGGAGCAUGUAGUUCAGUUGCUGCUUUUGUUUGUUUCUCCAAACUGAAGAGUUAGCUAUUUAAGCAGAACUCAUGUGUCAAAAGACACACUAGCAAGUGUUGUUAGCACCAGGCAUCGUCCUACCAUUCCCAUAGACCCUGUUGGAUUUACCCUCUCUCUCUCUCUCUCUCUCUCUCUCUCUCUCUCGCGCGCUCUCUCUCUUGUGCUCUCGCUCUGUUCUGUAUUAUGAAAUCUAAAGACUGUUACUACUGUUUUUGUGUUGGUUACUGCAGUUCUUUUUCUCUGUAGAAAGUUCCAUCUAAAUCUUUGUGCAUUUUUGGAUCAGUUCUUAUACUGAAAAGUUACCGAAUCUUGGAACAGGAUGAAAGAAAAGUUUGAGUGACUAAACUUUUUUUUUUUACACACACUCACUCAUUCACACACACACACAGACACAUCCAUACACACAAAGACACACCUUGUUGUUAACUUUUAUUAUAGUUCCUUCUGCAAGCACCACCAGUGGUAGUUAUAUUAGUAGUAUUAGUAUUGGAGAGAUUACCAUUAUUACUAACACUGUUGUUCUUGUUAUUGUUAUGGUUCUAAUUCCAUUCCUUCCUUAAAGAUAUCACAUUAUUGCAUGCAAAGAAGAGGCGGAAGAAAACCCAAGUUUAUGCAUGCGUAUAAUAUUAUAUACAUAACUUCAUAUAUAUAUUAAUAUAUAUAUAUAUAUAUAUAUGUGUGUGUGUGUAUAUAAUGUCAUGCGUCAGCAUAUGUUUCUGUGUAUGAUUAUGUGUAAAUAAUUGAAUAGAAUUCUUGUGGCAUUUUAGUCUCCGGUGAAUUUUGUAUAAUCUCAUAAAGUUUCACUAAAGUAAGAACUAGUUUACUUCUAUCUUCUCUCUUACAUUGAUUUCUUCUCUCUUUCUUUCUUUCUUUUCUUAUUUCAUCUUUCUCACACACACACACCUCUUGUGAUUGUUUCUGUAUAUACAUAUUCAUUUAUUUUCUAUUUCAACUGCCUUAGCAAUUGUUGUGGCUUCUCUUUUUUUUUUUUGUUUUUUGUUUUGGCUUUUAUUUUUGCCUAUUUAAACUAGAAUUCCAACUCUUCCCGCCACUUUACUGGAAAAAAAAUAUGAAAAGCUAGCAACAUGUCAAAUAACUAAAAGAUUCAGGAUCUCAUAUUUCUCUGUCCAUUAUAAUCCGUUUUGUGUAGUGUGCAUGUGUAUCUAUACAUACAUAUAUAUAUAUGUGUGUGUGUGUGUGAACAUAUGGUAAGUGGAAUUCUAAAUACUAAACUAAAUUCUUUAAAACAAAUUUAAUAAACUGUGGCAGACGUAAAAAAUUAAUAAAAUGAUACAAAGUUUGAAGGAAAGAACGGAUAAGAAUUAAGAGGAGUAAAGGGAGUACAAAUAUGAAAUUAAAUAUAGAUUCACAUAAAUAUGCCUACAUAUAGUCUGUACAACUAUACCGAUUAAGAUAGUGGUUUUUCUGAGUUUCCUCCAAAAUUAAUCUUAUUUGUUAACGUAAACUAAAAAUGCUUGAAAACAAAUGUAUAUACAUAUGUAUAUAGUUGUAUAGUUAGAUAUAUAAUGUUUAGCCAUAUGCAUCCAUCUGUACUUAAAUUUUGUUAAAAGUUGUAAAUGUUUAUAUUGACAAAGCAGGGAAAAAGUGCUCAACUCGUGUGAUAGAGUUUACUCAUAUAUCCACAGCUGGCUAAAUUUUCUCUCUGUUACUAUGCUACUCUAAGUUCCCUUUGUGCCAUUUUACACAUACACACACACAUUUAUAUAUUUAUAUAUGAUUUUAGUAACUUUAAUGCAGUAAGUGCCAACCUCUAAAUCAGAUGUCUUUAAGUUUCACUGCUUUAUUAUUUUUUUUAUAUUGAUUGCCAAUAGUAUCAUAGUUAUCAUCACACUCAUUAUUGCCAUUAUUUCUGUGUACUUCUCCCUUGUUUUGCCUUGGGUUGGAUAGGUUUACUACACCACCUUUUCUCUGUGGGUCUUGAGUCUGUUUAUACAUAAGGAAACCAAAUAAAACAAAUUCCUUUAUAGUAGAACUCUUCUUUUCAGCUUUCUCUUUCUAUACUCUUCCUGCAGCUUUAUCUUUGUAAUAAUACCAGUAAUUCCUUGGUGUUUCUUCACUGGCUUCUUCAGUUUUCCACACACCCUGCUCAUUUCUUUGGAUACUCACCUUCUACAUAAAUCAAGUAAAGCUGUUGUUAAGAUUAUUAUUAUUGUUGUUGUUGUUGUUGUUGUAUAAACCAAAUGUCAUCAUCGUAGACGUUAAAGUAAUUCUUUGACGUUAUUCCGUGACUGACAGUGAAGAACAACCCUCUUCAGCCUCCUCUUUCUUUAGCAUUUAUCAUUAAUAAUAAUAAUAAUGAUGAUAAUAAUAAUUGUUAACUCUUGUAAAUUUUAUUGUAAUUCAUUUUUAACUUUGCCUUGUUUUUGUUGUAACUAGUUCUGUUGCAGUCAUUGCUAAGGUUACUCUUUAUAAAUACUCAUAAUAAAUUCCAUACCAUCAGAUAAAAGAAGCUACCACUUACAUUUGCAAUCUGCCACACCCACCCACACACACACACACACACUCACACACACUCACACACACACUCACACACACACACACACACACACGUAUAUAUUUUCUUUUAAAACAGACAGAAUUUCUCUUGUAUACCUUUUAAUUUCAUCACCCUUCCUCGCAGUUCUUUUCAAGAAGUUAUAAACGUCACAACUAUCAACACUGCCACCCACUUUCUGUCUGUCUGUCUGUCUGUCCGUGGGUGGGUGGGUGUGUAUGUAUUUCUUUAAAUGCCAUAGAAGAAAAAUCUUUACCAAUCAAAUUAGCAUGGAGCAUCUUUAGGCAUUGCUUGUUUAUUGCUGUACAUAUUUCCUUUCAUCAUCAUCAUCAUCGUUAUUGUUGUUGUUGUUGUUAAUAAGUGUAUUAUUUUAUGAACUAUCAAUCACAUUUUUCAUAGUAUAGAUUUACGAUAUUUUCAUCCAAUAAAUCAGUUUGAUUGUCAUCAGGUGCUUAAUUCCUGGCUGUUUAUUAAGGUGUUUGACUGGAUUUGAACCAGGUACUUUCGUUUCUCAACUGAAGUUUGCAACUUUUUUUAUCCACUGGGCUACAGAUACAAUUACAGCUGUUGUGGUGGUUGCUAUUGUUGUUCUCAUUACUUUUAACAAUUUCUACUAAUUUCUGAAUUUGUUUCAUCACAGGAUGUAAGUAGUUGCCAUGGAAACAGAAACACUAAUCUCCUGCUUCAUCCUUUAACAAAAAUGCUGUGAUAAUGAUAACGAUGAUGAUGAUGAUGGCUAUUUUUUUUUAACUUAUAAACAAGUUUUCUUUGUAAGUUAUAAUCUGAUUUUGAAGCAACCCUGAACACAUUACUGGUAUAAAGUUUAUUGGCUUUGGUGUUAGUGAUGAUAGGGAAAAUAUAAUAAUUACCCUAAAGCCAAUUCUAAUUAAGUCUAUUGACUACUACUACUACUACUACUACUUUUGUUGCCCAUGGUAAGUUAGGAGAUAUAAAGGGGAAGUGCAUAAUACUUUGUUACUACUACUAAUAAUAACAGUAAUAAUAUUUGAUAAUAACAGCAGUAAUAAUAAUAAUAAUAAUAACAACAACCAUAGCAGUAAUAAUAACAACAACAAACAGCCAUAAUAAUAAUAACAACAACAACAAAAAAUACAGCCAUAGUAAUAAUAAUAAUAAUAAUAAUUUGUGGAAAUUUUUGUUGCUUCAUGAUGUACAUGUUUAUUCAUUUAGAUGUAAAUUUUUGCAGUCCUCUAACUAACGUACCAUUCAUUCACUCAAAUUAUCAUUAUCACAAGGAGAAAUAGCAUUUAUCAGAAUUUAAAUAACCUUGAGGUUGAAUGCAUUUAUUUGUUGUUUGAAAUGAAACUGUCUAAUCUAACAUUCAUUCGUUAUUUCAAACGAGGUUUAUGUUACAAUAUGUAGAUUAAGGUCUGUUACUCUACUUAGUUCCAAACUGAAAUUUUAGUCACGACUCAGGUUUCAUUCUUUGCACUCAUUUAGUUUUCCUUGAAUGAAAUAUAAAUAUCUUUAUAAUACUGCUUAAUCUUUAAUCCUUUACUUGUUUCUGUCAUUGGAUUGUGGCCAUGCUGGUGCACUGCUCUGAAGGGUUUUAGUCAAACAAAUCAGCCCCAGUAUUUUUUUUUUUCAUCAUCUGAUACUAAUUUUAUUAGUAUCUCUUGCUGAAACACUAACUUACAAGGACAGGAACAAACUAACACCGGUUGUGAGGCAGUGGUGGGAACAAACAACAUAAGCACAAAGACAAAUGCAUCACCAUCAUCUUUUAACAUUUGUUUUCUAUGCUGGCAUGGGUUGGAUGACUUGACCAGAGCUGGCAAGGCCAAGGGCAGCACCAGGUUCCAUUUUCUGUCUUGGCAUGGUUUCUACAGCAAGAUCCCCUACACACAUAUGACGAGCUUCUGCACAGUUUCCAUCUACGCAAUUCUCUCACAAAACUAUAGGUUGGCCUAGGGAUAUAGCAGAAGACAUUUGUCCAAGAUAUGUCAUGUAGUGGGACUGAACCCAAAACCACAUGGUCGCAAAGUGAUCUACUUGACCACACAGCCAUGCCUGCACCUUUACAUAUAAUAUAUUUAGCCAGAAAUUGUGAAAAAAAAAACAUAGCAUAAGUUCAUUAUAUUAGAAAUUCACUAACCUAUCAUUUUUAAUGUGUCACAUGCAUCAUUGCUUCUCUACAUAAAAUACAUUGAGUUUUAAAACCUGAACUUGCUUGCCUUUCUUAUGUGAUCAGUUAGGUAUCAUUAUUCAUUGAACUGCUAAUUUGAACAAUUUUCUCUUUCUGUCUUUUUAUAAUAAGCCUCUUCCUCUACCUACACACACACGUAUAUGAUUAGAUUUAUUGUAUUGGGAAUAAGUUUGUUAUCUAUAAUCUUGACAUUUAUAUUAGGAUUUUUGCAUUAAAGAAUACAAGAAAUUUACUUAUUUGGCACUUUUCUUUGAUAAUUUAAUUUGUUUCCUGUAGCUUAAAAUUCGAAAAACAAACAAAUUAGAUUUGUAUAUUUACAUCAUGGUAGAGUCAUAUUGGUUAUUCAGAAGACACAUGUACUAUUAGCCAGUUCCCUUUUGUUACUUUUCAGUAGUAUUUACAUAGCUAUAUAUCAAACACUUUUAUCGUAUAUUUAAGACCUGAUCACGGAUACUCUGUCUCCUCUUUAUUUAUUAAUCUAUUUUCUAUCUUAUUGAGGCUGAUCUGACAAUUUUAUUUUAGUUAUUCUUUUCUUUUUAACUUUAUUUUUUGUUCAUAUUCUACUUUUUAAAAAGCACUUUAUUUCCCUCUCUCUCUUCUCCCACCUUUUCUAAGAGUUGAUCACCUCUUAUAUUGAUGUCUGCUGACCCUAUCAAACUUGUUCCAAACUAACACUAACCUUUCAAUCCAUAUUUGCUCUCUUGUUAACACACACACACACACACACACACACAUAAAGAAAGAGAAAAACCAACCUACAGUUUUUUGUUUCAUCAUCAUCAUCGUCAUCAUCCUCAGUGACAGUGAUAAUAUCAUUGUUAAUAUCUGUUUGUCUUUAGAAGUGGUUCCUUAAGUGGAAUAAGUGUCUAGAAAAGAAACUGAAAUAUCUGUGUCAGAAUAUUUUUCUCUCAACCUCUCUCUCUCCCUCCCUCCCUCUCUUUCUCUCUUGUAAAGUCUAAUGCAUGCAAUUUGUAGCAAUAAAAGUUACUAAAGGAAAACUAAAAUUUUGACCAUUUUGCAUUCACACACUCACACACACAUAUAAAAUCCUUAGUUCUAGUUAUUAUCAAUACAUAGACGCACUCUCUGACACACUCACACACAGACAUACACAUUGAGAGCAAAAUUUUAUCUAAAAAUAACAGCGAAACAAUAAUUUCAAAAAUUACAGCUGGAAAAUAAAUACUUAGUAAAAAAAUGUAUAAUAGGAAACGCACACACACCACAUGCAUAUACGUACAUACAGAGAGAGAAUAUAUUGGAUAUAAGUGUUAAAUUCUAAAAGAAUAAAAUAGGAAAAAAAAAAAUUGUGAAUCUUUCUCUGUAUUUCCUUGUCUGUCUGUUUGUCUCUCUAAAACAGAUACACAUAAAUUAUUAUAAACAAAAUACAAAAACCUCAAACAAACAAAAUAUUCAGUCUCUGUGUGAAAAUUACAAUCAUUAUUUUUGUUGUUCUUGUUGUAUGUGUGGAAGUUUCAUCGACUCUAGAGAUUACAGUUUAAAGAGCAACAAAACGAAAGUCCAAUUUACUGCCAUCACACACACACACACACACACACACACAUGUCAACAAAUUUCAGACUGCAUCUGGAAGUCCAAGAGCAACAACAUUUCACUUCUAAAGGAAAAGAAAAAAGAAAAACAAGAAAUUGUGUUUUGGAAAAGCCCAAUAACGGCCCCAACAACUGCAACAUAUGACUACAAAGCAAAACAUCCAAGGAGACUUGUAAUAAACAUUUAUGUGCUUUGUUGCGACAUUUUCUGUUGGAAUAUCUUCAAAAUCCUUGCUCCUUCCUACCAUUCCUUAUUCUCACAUUCCCUCCCCCUGUCAUUCUGCAAUUUUUUGUGCCAUUCGGAUUAUGCCUUUUGGAUUAAGAACUGUACGCUCAAUUCGUGGAAUAAACAGAUGUAAGAGUCGUAUGUUCUUUAUAAACAGACGAGUUAUUACAGCAUUCAAAGAAUUACCUGUAAGUAAAUUAUUAGAAAGCAAGAAAAAAUUCCUUAAUAAUAAUUAUUAUAAUCAUAAUGAUGAUAAUGAUAAUGUUGAUAAUAAUUACACCCUUUGCCCAUCUCCAGUGAAAGUUUUCAGUAAUUUCUGAGUCUUUUUUUUUAUUAGUUUCUUUUUAGUUUUGUUGUUUUUCUUAUUUAUUUUCGUGUUUUAUGUUUUGAUUUGAGAGACCCUUCCACUCCCUUAACUGCUAGCACAAAUGAACCACUGCAAGUUCUGUAAGCACUGUCGUCGACUGAACAAUCGACGCAAACUGCGACACACAGUGAUUCCGAAGCCGUUAAGGAAGCUAUUGUACCCCUCGCAGAAGUCUUGCCGCUCUUACAAUGAAUCCGUGGCUAAGG